CGGACGGGUGAGUAAUGUAUGGGGAUCUGCCUGAUGGCGGGGGAUAACUACUGGAAACGGUAGCUAAUACCGCAUAACGUCGCAAGACCAAAGAGGGGGACCUUCGGGCCUCUUGCCAUCGGAUGUGCCCAGAUGGGAUUAGCUAGUAGGUGGGGUAACGGCUCACCAAGGCCACGAUGCAUAGCCGACCUGAGAGGGUGAUCGGCCACACUGGGACUGAGACACGGCCCAG
RNAcentral lists this ribosomal RNA (232 nucleotides) under uncultured bacterium. RNAcentral's name for it is "partial 16S ribosomal RNA". It matches the Rfam family "Bacterial small subunit ribosomal RNA", at positions 99 to 334 of the family's 1533-position model. The record is from RNAcentral.